AUGAAUCUGGGCGAGCUGGUUGAGUCCAUGCGUUUGUGCUUCCUCUCAACUUUCGCUUACCAUGGGGCGACUCUUGUCCAUCGUCGCCUCACCUGGAAACUUGUCCUGCCGGCCCAGUUAAUGGUCCCCUGUACCAUCUCCUUCCUGAGUGACUACUGAGCAGCCGCAGGGACUCGGGGUUGCUCCGUGACCACGUUACUCAGUUACCUUCUUGUUCCUUGGAGAGGCGGAGCUGAAUGGCCCGUGUCAGCCAUCGGACCCCGAGUCUCCAGCCGUGUUAUCUGCAGACUGUGAUUGUAUGUGCCAAGGUGACUUUGGAAGAGGUUUCUGAGCCUCAGAUGAGACCCCAGUCUGGCCAACACUUUGAAGCCUUGUGAGAAUCUGACCAUCCAACUAAGCCUUGCCCUGACUCCUGACCCAUGGAAACUGUGAGAUAAUAAAUG
Piliocolobus tephrosceles (Ugandan red Colobus) is the source of this 443-nucleotide long non-coding RNA. RefSeq lists it as uncharacterized. The transcript has 3 exons. Lineage: Eukaryota; Metazoa; Chordata; Mammalia; Primates; Cercopithecidae. The record is from RefSeq and is a predicted model, not a curated record.